AUCUGGCUUAUGGAGGGGGAUAACGACGGGAAACUGUCGCUAAUACCGCGUAAUGUCUAAGGACUAGAGGGUGGGACUUUCGGGCCACCUGCCAUAAGAUGAGCCCAAGUGGGAUUAGGUAGUUGGUGGGGUAAAGGCCUACCAAGCCGACGAUCUCUAGCUGGUCUGAGAGGAUGACCAGCCACACUGGAACUGAGACACGGUCCAGACUCCUACGGGAGGCAGCAGUGGGGAAUAUUGCACAAUGGGGGGAACCCUGAUGCAGCCAUGCCGCGUGAAUGAAGAAGGCCUUCGGGUUGUAAAGUUCUUUCGGUGAUGAGGAAGGGUGAUGUUUUAAUAGAGCAUUACAUUGACGUUAGUCACAGAAGAAGCACCGGCUAACUCCGUGCCAGCAGCCGCGGUAAUACGGAGGGUGCGAGCGUUAAUCGGAAUGACUGGGCGUAAAGGGCACGCAGGCGGUGACUUAAGUGAGAUGUGAAAGCCCCGAGCUUAACUUGGGAAUUGCAUUUCAUACUGGGUUGCUAGAGUAUUUUAGGGAGGGGUAGAAUUCCACGUGUAGCGGUGAAAUGCGUAGAGAUGUGGAGGAAUACCGAAGGCGAAGGCAGCCCCUUGGGAAAAUACUGACGCUCAUGUGCGAAAGCGUGGGGAGCAAACAGGAUUAGAUACCCUGGUAGUCCACGCUGUAAACGCUGUCGAUUUGGGGAUUGGGCUUUAUGUUUGGUGCCCGUAGCUAACGUGAUAAAUCGACCGCCUGGGGAGUACGGCCGCAAGGUUAAAACUCAAAUGAAUUGACGGGGGCCCGCACAAGCGGUGGAGCAUGUGGUUUAAUUCGAUGCAACGCGAAGAACCUUACCUACUCUUGACAUCCUAAGAAG
Molecule: ribosomal RNA, 875 nt
Filed under: Glaesserella parasuis
Lineage: Bacteria; Pseudomonadati; Pseudomonadota; Gammaproteobacteria; Pasteurellales; Pasteurellaceae
Description: bacterial SSU rRNA
Rfam family: Bacterial small subunit ribosomal RNA
Source: RNAcentral